This 468-nucleotide ribosomal RNA is filed under the name uncultured bacterium. RNAcentral describes it as "partial 16S ribosomal RNA". It matches the Rfam family "Bacterial small subunit ribosomal RNA", at positions 28 to 507 of the family's 1533-position model. The record is from RNAcentral.
GACGAACGCUGGCGGCGUGCUUAACACAUGCAAGUCGAACGGAAAGGCCCUGCUUGUUUGGUGUUCUCGAGUGGCGAACGGGUGAGUAACACGUGAGUAACCUGCCCUUGACUUUGGGAUAACUUCAGGAAGCUGGGGCUAAUACCGGAUAGGAGCUCCUGCUGCAUGGUGGGGGUUGGAAAGUUUCGGCGGUUGGGGAUGGACUCGCGGCUUAUCAGCUUGUUGGUGGGGUAGUGGCUUACCAAGGCUUUGACGGGUAGCCGGCCUGAGAGGGUGACCGGCCACAUUGGGACUGAGAUACGGCCCAGACUCCUACGGGAGGCAGCAGUGGGGAAUAUUGCACAAUGGGCGGAAGCCUGAUGCAGCAACGCCGCGUGCGGGAUGACGGCCUUCGGGUUGUAAACCGCUUUCGCCUGUGACGAAGCGUGAGUGACGGUAAUGGGUAAAGAAGCACCGGCUAACUACGUG